This 263-nucleotide long non-coding RNA is filed under the name Lathyrus oleraceus (garden pea). RNAcentral describes it as "Pisum sativum (pea) long non-coding RNA (PSAT_LNC002718)". The record is from RNAcentral. Lineage: Eukaryota; Viridiplantae; Streptophyta; Magnoliopsida; Fabales; Fabaceae.
UCAAACGGUAACCACGGUCUGAGAAUAGCUCAUGCUUGCAAUAUGAUGCAUGAUUGAUUUUUCUGCGUAAUGCUCCAUACUUAUGGAAAUGCUACGCGAUUUAUUAUGCGAUAUGCUAUGCUAUUUUUUCAUGAUGAAUGUAUAAAAGAGCAUCCCCCUCAAGGGACUCUUCUGAGGAGCUCGAGACACUCUGCUGAGGAACUCGUCAACAAUCCGAUUCCACCCUGCUGGGGAAUAGUGCUGCUGCUGGGAAAAGGCAACCC